This 483-nucleotide ribosomal RNA is filed under the name uncultured bacterium. RNAcentral's name for it is "partial 16S ribosomal RNA". It matches the Rfam family "Bacterial small subunit ribosomal RNA", at positions 28 to 507 of the family's 1533-position model. The record is from RNAcentral.
GACGAACGCUGGCGGCGUGCCUAACACAUGCAAGUCGAGCGGGGAUUUAAGUGGAAGUUCUUCGGAAUGGAGAUUUAAAUUCUAGCGGCGGACGGGUGAGUAACGCGUGAACAAUCUGUCCCGGACAGGGGGAUAACACUUGGAAACAGGUGCUAAUACCGCAUAAGACCACGGCCUCGCAUGGGGCUGAGGUAAAAGGAGCAAUCCGGUUCGGGGUGAGUUCGCGUCCGAUUAGCUAGUUGGUGAGGUAACGGCCCACCAAGGCGACGAUCGGUAGCCGGCCUGAGAGGGUGAACGGCCACAUUGGAACUGAGAGACGGUCCAAACUCCUACGGGAGGCAGCAGUGGGGAAUAUUGGGCAAUGGGCGAAAGCCUGACCCAGCAACGCCGCGUGAGGGAAGAAGGUUUUCGGAGUGUAAACCUCUGUCCUAUGGGACGAAGGAAGUGACGGUACCAGAGGAGGAAGCCCCGGCUAACUACGUG